Molecule: ribosomal RNA, 110 nt
Filed under: uncultured eukaryote
Lineage: Eukaryota
Description: partial small subunit ribosomal RNA
Rfam family: Eukaryotic small subunit ribosomal RNA
Source: RNAcentral
UCGCUCCUACCGAUUGGAUGAUCCGGUGAAAUCUUCGGAGAGUGGAUUUUUAUGGGGCAACUCAUUGGUUCGCUCAAAGUUGAUUAAGCCUUAUCAUCUAGAGGAAGGAG